Molecule: unclassified non-coding RNA, 377 nt
Filed under: uncultured Actinomycetes bacterium
Lineage: Bacteria; Bacillati; Actinomycetota; Actinomycetes
Description: uncultured actinobacterium contains 16S-23S intergenic spacer region
Source: RNAcentral
UCCGAGUUAACCCCGGCAGUCUCCCGCGAGUCCCCAACACCACUUGCUGGCAACACGGGAUAAGGGUUGCGCUCGUUGCGGGACUUAACCCAACAUCUCACGACACGAGCUGACGACAGCCAUGCACCACCUGCGCACCAACCACAAGGGGGGCCGUAUCUCUACGGCUUUCCGGUAUAUGUCAAACCCAGGUAAGGUUCUUCGCGUUGCAUCGAAUUAAAGAACAUGCUCCGCUGCUUGUGCGGGCCCCCGUCAAUUCUUUUGAGUUUUAGCCUUGCGGCCGUACUCCCCAGGCGGAACACUUAACGCGUUGGCUACGGCACAGGGGGAUUCGACUCCCCCCACACCUAGUGUUCAUCGUUUACGGCUAGGACUAC